This 740-nucleotide ribosomal RNA is filed under the name Nocardioides luteus. RNAcentral's name for it is "bacterial SSU rRNA". It matches the Rfam family "Bacterial small subunit ribosomal RNA", at positions 75 to 831 of the family's 1533-position model. The record is from RNAcentral. Lineage: Bacteria; Bacillati; Actinomycetota; Actinomycetes; Propionibacteriales; Nocardioidaceae.
GCCCUUCGGGGUACUCGAGCGGCGAACGGGUGAGUAACACGUGAGUAAUCUGCCCCAGGCUCUGGGAUAGCCACCGGAAACGGUGAUUAAUACCGGAUACGACAACCGAUUGCAUGAUCUGGUUGUGGAAAGUUUUUCGGCCUGGGAUGUGCUCGCGGCCUAUCAGCUUGUUGGUGAGGUAAUGGCUCACCAAGGCUUCGACGGGUAGCCGGCCUGAGAGGGUGACCGGCCACACUGGGACUGAGACACGGCCCAGACUCCUACGGGAGGCAGCAGUGGGGAAUAUUGGACAAUGGGCGGAAGCCUGAUCCAGCAACGCCGCGUGAGGGAUGACGGCCUUCGGGUUGUAAACCUCUUUCAGCACAGACGAAGCGCAAGUGACGGUAUGUGCAGAAGAAGGACCGGCCAACUACGUGCCAGCAGCCGCGGUAAUACGUAGGGUCCGAGCGUUGUCCGGAAUUAUUGGGCGUAAAGGGCUCGUAGGCGGUCUGUCGCGUCGGGAGUGAAAACCAGGUGCUUAACACCUGGCCUGCUUUCGAUACGGGCAGACUAGAGGUACUCAGGGGAGAAUGGAAUUCCUGGUGUAGCGGUGAAAUGCGCAGAUAUCAGGAGGAACACCGGUGGCGAAGGCGGUUCUCUGGGAGUAUCCUGACGCUGAGGAGCGAAAGUGUGGGGAGCGAACAGGAUUAGAUACCCUGGUAGUCCACACCGUAAACGUUGGGCGCUAGGUGUGGGAUCCA